GGCCUUCCUGUAAAUAUAUUCAUUAUUAUCCUUGUGGAUUUUGCUACUGAGUCUGACAUCGUAGAAGGACCAUUCUUUAAUCAGAUUGGAUUUUGCACCUGAGUUUGACAUCGUAGGAGGAUCAUUCUUUCAUCAGAUUGGAUUUUGCUACUGAGUCUGACAUCGUAGA
Molecule: long non-coding RNA, 169 nt
Organism: Dalotia coriaria
Lineage: Eukaryota; Metazoa; Arthropoda; Insecta; Coleoptera; Staphylinidae
Exons: 4
Source: RefSeq, a predicted model, not a curated record